GACGAACGCUGGCGGCGUGCUUAACACAUGCCAGUCGAACGGAAAGGCCCUGCUUUUGUGGGGUGCUCGAGUGGCGAACGGGUGAGUAACACGUGAGUAACCUGCCCUUGACUUUGGGAUAACUUCAGGAAACUGGGGCUAAUACCGGAUAGGAGCUCCUGCUGCAUGGUGGGGGUUGGAAAGUUUCGGCGGUUGGGGAUGGACUCGCGGCUUAUCAGCUUGUUGGUGGGGUAGUGGCUUACCAAGGCUUUGACGGGUAGCCGGCCUGAGAGGGUGACCGGCCACAUUGGGACUGAGAUACGGCCCAGACUCCUACGGGAGGCAGCAGUGGGGAAUAUUGCACAAUGGGCGGAAGCCUGAUGAAGCAACGCCGCGUGCGGGAUGACGGCCUUCGGGUUGUAAACCGCUUGCGCCUGUGACGAAGCGUGAGUGACGGUAAUGGGUAAAGAAGCACCGGCUAACUACGUG
RNAcentral lists this ribosomal RNA (468 nucleotides) under uncultured bacterium. RNAcentral describes it as "partial 16S ribosomal RNA". It matches the Rfam family "Bacterial small subunit ribosomal RNA", at positions 28 to 507 of the family's 1533-position model. The record is from RNAcentral.